RNAcentral lists this ribosomal RNA (527 nucleotides) under uncultured beta proteobacterium. Its description in RNAcentral is "bacterial SSU rRNA". It matches the Rfam family "Bacterial small subunit ribosomal RNA", at positions 9 to 524 of the family's 1533-position model. Lineage: Bacteria; Pseudomonadati; Pseudomonadota; Betaproteobacteria. The record is from RNAcentral.
GAGUUUGAUCCUGGCUCAGAGUGAACGCUGGCGGCAGGCCUAACACAUGCAAGUCGAACGGCAGCACAGAGGAGCUUGCUCCUUGGGUGGCGAGUGGCGGACGGGUGAGGAAUACGUCGGAACAUGUCCAAGUCGUGGGGGAUAGCCCGGCGAAAGCCGGAUUAAUACCGCAUGUGCCCGAGAGGGGAAAGUGGGGGACCGCAAGGCCUCACGCGAUUGGGUUGGCCGAUGUCCGAUUAGCUAGUUGGCGGGGUAAGAGCCCACCAAGGCGAUGAUCGGUAGCUGGUCUGAGAGGAUGAUCAGCCACACUGGGACUGAGACACGGCCCAGACUCUUACGGGAGGCAGCAGUGGGGAAUUUUGGACAAUGGGGGCAACCCUGAUCCAGCCAUUCCGCGUGAGUGAAGAAGGCCCUCGGGUUGUAAAGCUCUUUUGUCCGGAACGAAACGGUUACGGUGAAUAUCCGUGGCUAAUGACGGUACCGGAAGAAUAAACACCGGCUAACUACGUGCCAGCAGCCGCCGUAAU